This 157-nucleotide ribosomal RNA is filed under the name Neoaquastroma bauhiniae. Its description in RNAcentral is "5.8S ribosomal RNA". It matches the Rfam family "5.8S ribosomal RNA". From Rfam's summary of the family: 5.8S ribosomal RNA (5.8S rRNA) is a component of the large subunit of the eukaryotic ribosome. The record is from RNAcentral. Lineage: Eukaryota; Fungi; Ascomycota; Dothideomycetes; Pleosporales.
AACUUUCAACAACGGAUCUCUUGGCUCUGGCAUCGAUGAAGAACGCAGCGAAAUGCGAUAAGUAGUGUGAAUUGCAGAAUUCAGUGAAUCAUCGAAUCUUUGAACGCACAUUGCGCCCCUUGGUAUUCCAUGGGGCAUGCCUGUUCGAGCGUCAUUU